Molecule: RNA transcript, 4690 nt
Organism: Phyllopteryx taeniolatus (common seadragon)
Lineage: Eukaryota; Metazoa; Chordata; Actinopteri; Syngnathiformes; Syngnathidae
Gene: cyyr1
Gene name: cysteine/tyrosine-rich 1
Exons: 3
Source: RefSeq, a predicted model, not a curated record
UCUGUCAGAGGUGACUGUCUCAUUCCUCUGCGCAGGAGCACUUUCAGUAAGUCAGCCUGGUCAGUGAGGACCGCUGGUGAGUGGAACUCAGUACCUGAGGAGGUUAAACUGCUUACAACAUACAAGGCCUUCACAAAAAAACUGAAAAUGUGGCUAGUUAACACCUAUAGCUGCCAUCACUAAAAGACAAGUAUGUUAUGUUGUCUUUUUGUUAUGAUCAAAAAAAUUAUGGUUUUAUUCUCUCUUAAUAGUAUAGUUUGAUUAUGUAUCCUGUAUUAUAUUGUCUUGUAGAUGUAUUUUACUGCUUUUUUACAUCAUGGCCAGGGGACUACAGAUGAAAACUAGCCUUCUGGCUAAUUCUGGCUUUUUUAACCAUGUGUACUUCAUGUGUUUUAUGAAAUUGCAUUGUCCCCUUUCAAAAAUAAACUGAUAAACAUAAAAUCACUGUUUAAAAACUGUAUUUAUUGUGUUCUUGGGUUAUAUUUGUCUGAUAUUUACAUUUGCUUGAUGAUCUUAGUUUUCACAACACACACGUAGAUAGAUAGAUAGAUAGAUAGAUAGAUAGAACAACAGAGAAAAAAUUUGCACUGCUGAAGAUGACUCACUUCGCCUUUUGCCGUGAAAAUGCGUGGCUAUUACUUGAUCGUACAUAAAAUAGCUUACAGCAUUGUAGUCAUUUUACCUCAACCUAAUAAAAAUUGGAUCACAUCCCAUUUUAAUAUUGAGAAACCCUGCUCUAAAGUGAACCCAGAUAUGGAAAUCUGCUUAUGUGCCCCCAGGCUCACACCAUUUGUAUGAUUUACUGAAAGAAAGCAGACAUGCAAAAAGUAUCUUGUUCUUGUGCUUCAUUUGAAGUGCUUUGAUACUCCAAAUUGGAAAUGGGCUAAUGUGGUACAUGAAAGCAGGUUGGUAACGGUUACAAACAAAAGCGAACUCUGUGUGCAGUGCUUUUAAAAAUUGAUAAAAAUGCUUUAAAAUAUGGACAGUUAUGGCUAAUCUGGAGCAAGAUUAAUUGGUUGUAUUAUUCUCACACACGUGCACUAUUAAAGCAUGUUAUUAACAUACGGACAUUAUUGUUGAACAAAGAAAAACACAGAGUGGUGACAGAAGUAACUUGUAACUGAUGAGACCAGAAUUAAAAACACCCAAGAAUGUCAAAGAACAAAAGAUCAGACAACAGGAUUCUGAAGUGGCCUUCUCUGAGUACUGAUUUAAAUCCUAUUAACAUCUGGAGAAGAAGCUGAACCGUGCUGUUUAGAGAAGGCAAUCUUCAAACCAAAGACAGCUAGAGCAGUUUUCCCAUGAGGAGCAGACUUGUCAGUUGCACAAGUCUUUGGACAAUCUAAAUGCUUUGACGUAAAAAAGCUUAAAGUGGUUUAAUGUCCGAAAACUGCAAUCAAUCAUCACCAAAACGUGUGUGUACAUCUCUAGUCAUGCCAAAUUUCACUUCUGAAAAUAUCAAAAUGGUAACUACAGUAUUACGGAUGCUGUCUACGUUAAGCCUUUUCCAAUAAGGAAAUGUAAGGUUAUUGUGAUAUUUUCAGAGGUUGAAGUGGGCAUGAGUAGAGAAGUAUACACAAGUUUUGGUGACGAUUGAUCGCAGUCAUCGGACAUUAAAUGAGGUUAAAGAAUUUUACGUUUGUUAUGCGUUUUAGACUGUCCCCAAUUCAUUGAGAGUUACAGAAUUUGUUUGAUUGCAGUUACUGCCUCAAAAGGUGGUGAUGCCAAAACUAAAUUAAGGGUACCAUAAUUUUUGUCCAGGUCGGUUUCAUUAGUUUAUCUUUAAAAAAAUAAUUAUACUCGACCAGAUUUCAAUACAUGUACAAUAAUAAUGGGAUUUUGUCUUCUUGCAAACUGAUAAUGCCAAACAAAAUAUUGUACAGUAUGAUGAUUUCAAAGUCAAUCAUGUCAUAUGCUAAAUUUACCGUUGCUAGGUUGUUAAAAUGCAUGACUCCGUUGUAAACUGUGUGCACGGUGUGUUGCAGGUGGCAGCAAAGCCCAGUGUCACGGCUGUCUCGAGUACUGCUGCGAAGGCUCGCCACCUUUCUGCUGCUCCUAUUACGCCUUCGUGGAGGACGUCCUUUCGCUAUUACAACCCACCAUCUGCCUUUUAUGUCGCAAAAAAACUAUUUAUUUCAGGCAAAAGUGUGCUUAAGAUUAGCGUGAAAGCCGCUAACUCACUCACCAACUGUCCUUUAGCUUACCAGAAGGACUUAGCUAAACAUGCAUGCGGUGACGCUUGUAUUUAUCAUUACUCAUCACUAUCACCAUGCUUUUUCACAAUAACAUGCUGACUAAUUUUGACUAUGACAACGCUAUUCAAAGGCACCACAAAAAUCCUGGUAACACUCAUUCACAUCCACGUCACACCGUUGACUAAUAGCAGAUGAUGCAGUAGGUCACUGUGGCAACACCCUAAAAGCGUUUGAGAUCGCUUCGUCCUCUUCCUCACGUGUGACUGCUUGUGUGUUCCAGGGGCACUGCCAUUUCUGGGAUUGUGUUUGGCUUGGUGUUUCUGAUGGCCGCAAUGGCAGCCUUGUUCCUGUGUCUCUGCAUGUGUGUGAAAAAUGGACAUGGCGCCAGGGUCGGUGUGUUCAGCACAUCAUGCAUUAACACUGUUCCACAGGCCUACUCAGGUUCAAAAUGGGGAAGACUGCAGACUUGACAACUGACCAGAAGACCAUCAUUGAUACCCUCCAUAGGAUGGGUAAGCCACAAAAGUUCAUAGCUAAGGAGGCUGGCUGUUCACAUAGCGCUAUGUCCAAGCAUAUCCAUGAAAAGUCUAGUGGAAGGACAAAAUGUGGCAGGAGAAGAUGCACCAGCAAAAGUGAUGACCGUGGGCUUCAGUGGAUUAUCAGACAGAGAAGAUUCAAGAAUCUAGAAUCUAGAUCCAGAAAGAGUGGACUGAGGCAGGUGUCACAGCUUCAAAAACCACCACAUUCCGACGCACUGUCAGGUUCCUCGGGUCAAGCCACUUCUGAGACUAAGCCAACGUAGGAAGCAUCUCAACGGGCCAAUGAGAAGAAUGACUGGACUGUUGGCCAGUGGUCCAAGGUCCUCUUUUCCGAUGAAAGUAAUGUAUACCUUUCACUCGGGAAUCAAGGGUCCAAGGGUCUGGAGGAAGGCGGGUGAAGAACAGAACCCAAGCUGCUUGAGUUCCAGUGUGAAAUAUUCACAGUCAGUCAUGAUUUGGUAUGCAAUGUCCAGUGCAGGUGUUGGUAAACUCUGCUUUCUUAAAUCCAAGAUCACUGCAAGAGUCUACCAGAAUGUUUUAGAGGACUUCAUGAUUCCUUCUGCUGAGGAUCUGCAUGUAGAUGCAGAUUUCAUCUUCCAGCAGGACCAGGCCCCUGCCCAAAAUGAGGGACGCCAGACCCCAAAACAAAGAAGAACUGACAGCCACCAUCAAGGAAAUCUGAGUUUCCAUAAAUGCUACAGGGUGAUUGCCUCAAUGCCAUGGCGCAUCGAGGCAGGGAUUAAAGCAAAGGGAUUUCCAACCAGGUCCUCCGCCUCUAUACUCCUACGACUGUGAGACGUAUCCUCCACCUCUACACCCUCCACCCUACACACCGGUUCAGUCAGGGCUAGCCAGCUAAUCCCCUCCUCCUCCUUACUCGAGGCGCACGAGCAAAUGAUUGCAUGGAUCUUCCACUGGCAGCUGAAAUGAAGCGCUCAGGCAGGCCUGGCUAUGCAGGCAACAGAAUAACCUCAGGUGUGUGGAGCAGGGCCCAGUGCAAUAAUGAUUCAGCACUCAGGCUACCCGAGCAGUGAGUUCUUCUGCUGAGUAGAUGAAAAAUGAAGACGGUGUUGAGGAAAUUAAUAAUAAUUGAAUACAAUGUAGGACAGGACAAUGAGGCACUGGAACUUGCUGUGCUUGCCGGCAGCCAUUACCAAACGCUUAUCAUCUCCGGCCAUGCACUUCAAAGGGACUGAGUUGUCUUUUUAAAUUGAAGACUACCUUUCUUGAGGGAACAUUUUUACUACCCCGGGAAGAAAGUUUUCCCAGGACAUUUAUAGACAUAUUUUUUCUUUCAUUUUUUAAAUUAUUUUCUUUUAAUUAUUUCAUCAAUGUGAUUGUUUCUGGGGUAAAACCUGAUGUGAAGUGCCUAUCUGAACAAAGCAGGACUGGCAUGUCCAGGGUGGAAAAUGAAACUGCUUUUCCCACUGAUACUUGACAUAAUGAGUGACAGUGAACUGGGGUCACAAGCUGAGCCACUCUGACACGUCAAUAUUGUGCAACAUUUAUUACAUGCAUUUCAGUUGUGCUCAUUCAAACUGCUGUCACAGUGUGAUAGCAUAGUGACUGUGAAUGGAGGAUGAGACUUUACUGUGCUGAAUGCAUAAAUGACUCCUGGCUGUGUGUUAGAUAAAUUGUAGAAGUUAUCAUUUAUUUGCUUAGCUUGCAUUAGUAUAAUGGACAAUUUUAGAUGUCUCGCCUUCAAAAAGAAGACUCAGCAUCAUCCGAUGGAAGGGCGCCUGGACCAAGGACGUGAUCGGAUGUGGUCGGGUCGUGACAGGUGUUGGUUCAAUAUUAUGUGUUGUGUCUUAUUGUUUAGAAUACUAUGUCUGGGAAAAACCCUCUUAUUAUCAAAUAUUUUGUGUUGUGUCUUAUUGCUUAGAACAUUAUGAUUUGUAAAUCCCUCCUAUUUCAAAUAAAAGCAGGAGCGAGGGGGGGGAUUGUUUAGAGCGUGUU